This is an RNA transcript of Cryptomeria japonica (Japanese cedar), 6603 nucleotides long. It is a transcript of the gene named histone-lysine N-methyltransferase ASHH2, with no coding region annotated. The record is from RefSeq and is a predicted model, not a curated record. NCBI's taxonomy places the organism in Eukaryota, Viridiplantae, Streptophyta, Pinopsida, Cupressales, Cupressaceae. The transcript is spliced from 19 exons.
GAGUCAGCGCCGUAAAAAGCAAAUUCCCUCACGUCUAAGUUAGGGUCGCGUAUUGUAUUUCGAUUCAACCGUGCAAACUUUAAAAACUGUGAAAAUUGAUUUCCGUUUUGGUUUUGGUUUGGCUUGGCUGGUUUGUUUGUUUGUUUUAAUCCCUAAAAGCUAAGCCAAAAAAUACAGAGCGAUAAAAAGAAAAUCAAACAAUUUAAUCAAUACGAAAGAAACCUGAAUGGUCGGCCACCAAAUCCUUCUCUCAGUUUAAUUAAAAAUAAACACACACACAACUGGUUGAAUUACAUGGGAUAUUCUCAAAAUUACAGAGAAUAUUGUUGAUGCACGAAACCGAGGUCGCAGGUUCGAAAGCCGGGAAAAAUAAAACACAACAAUUCGCAGGGACUAUUAUUUUCCAUGAGAAAAUGCUGGAUCUCAGAAUCGCGAUGGAUGAGCAGAAACAGCAAUUUCAUAAUGGGGAGCUUAGCUCCGUCCACAAAGCCACGCCAGGGUUUCGAGAUAAGGAACGUAGAAGCGCAGAGGUCACAGUUUCGAAGCUUCCGAGGAUUAGCCGUUCGAAAUUCGAGAGAGCGUGCAGAGAUUAUAAGGACGGGGUUGUGAAGCCUACGGAUAGAAUGUAUAGGCUCGUGCAGAUACGAUUGUGUUUUAGAGAGAGGAAAUGUACCAGGAACGGCAAGCUUUUGGCUGUAGAAGGUAAAAUUGCAGCAGUAGAAGGAAGUAUUUUGGCAGCUGAGGGUAGAAUUUUGGCAGGGGAUGGGAAAAGUUUGGACGAUGGUUUGAGGAGAUCUUUGAAAGGAGGCAAUAGGGAUGGACAUCGAAAUAAGGAGCAGGUUGAGGAAUUGGAUUCCGGUAAUAAGAAGAAGAGGAAGAAGAAGAAGAAGGAGGAGGCUAAGAGUGAUUCGCCUGUUUUUUCUCAGAAUAAAGUACAUUCUGGAGCGAAGAUUCAAGAAAGGAUUGGUAAGGGAGAGGCUCAGAGGGAAAUUGUUGAAGAGAGUAAGAAGCCAGAGAAACGUAAAGCGAUAAUUAAAUCGAGUGAGGAUCCAGCAACUAAAUCAACUGAUGAGGCAAAACAUAAGGUGAAACGGCAGAGAUUAGGGAAGGGGAAUGUACAAGGUGAGGGAAAGGUCGGAUUGGUUGAAGAGAGAUUUGUAAAUGGGGAAGGCGGAGAGCCUCAAAAUAAUCAGAGAAAGAGGCAGAGGAAGCAAAUGUCAGGGGAUGCACAUUUGGAAGUGGUUGGAAGAAAAGUAACAGGGGCUGCAAAUGGAGACAUCUCUGCAACAAUGAAGUUGUCUAAUCCCAUAAAGAAAGAACGAUUGGCAGCAUCAGCUAUGUCUCAGGCAGCAGUAUCAUUUGCCAAUCCUGUCAAAAAAGAGAGAUUGGCAUCUUCAAGUACAUCUCAGGUAGAGGUAUCUGUGACUAACUCUAUCAAGAAAGAACGAUUGACAGCUUCAAGUACAUCGCAGGCAGAGGUAUCGCUCAGGGAGUGUUCAGGAAAGGAAGUGGUAAAGAAAACUAGAGCUAGGGGUGUGCCAAUGACUACUUCUGUGGAAGAACCUGAACUAAGAAAAACCACAGAAAAAGAUGUUAAGGAGGAUGGUCUCUUGCAAAACCAUAACAAAGAAGAAUCGAAAGGAAUAGAUGCUACAAGAAAUGAGUUAAAAACUAGUGAGUUCUGUAUCAGCUUACAGAAGAGGGAAACUUCUGGUCAUGUAGGCAAUGCCAGGCCUUUGGGAGAGGAUGUUGCCUUGACAGAGGUUCAGAAACUUGCAGAUGGUUUUGAUGAUCAGAAAAAAGAAAUUUUGACUCAUGAAAAUAUUAAUGCUACUGACAUCCCUAUCGUUGAAGGGAUAAUUACUGAUAAAAAUAGUCCAACGAGUGUGCUUACAGAAGCCGAAGGAAACAAAGAUUCCAAGAAUCUUAGAGCAGUGCCUGAAAAACUGCCGAGUGCAUGGGUUCAAUGUGAUAAGUGCACAAAAUGGCGUCAGAUACCUGUUGAAUUAGCUGAGUAUAUAGACAUAACAAACCCUAGAUGGUGUUGCCAUGACAACUUGGACAAAGCUUUUGCUGACUGUUCUGUGCCACAAGAAAAGUCCGAUGCUGAAAUUAAUGCAGAACUCAAUAUUUCUGAGAGUUCCAACUGCAAUGAAAAUGACAACUCAGAUGGCCAGGUAGAUUCAAAGGCUCUUCAGAAGGGUCAUAUCGAAGUGGCUCAGCAAUAUGUAUGGACAUCAAUUGAGCACAACAUUUAUGUUAAUAGGUGCCGAAAGAGCCCAACAAUUGACGAGAUAAUGAUCUGUCAGUGUAAAGCUCCUGAUGGUGGCACCCCUGGGUGUUGUGGGGAUGAUUGCUUGAACCGUUCAAUGAAUAUUGAAUGUGUUCCUGGCACAUGCCCUUGUGGAGAUCUGUGUUCUAACCAAAGGUUUCAAAAGAAACUAUAUGCAAAGGUUAAGGAAAUGCGUUGUGGAAAGAAAGGUUAUGGGUUGCGGGUGUUGGAGGAUGUGCCAAGGACAACUUUUAUCAUAGAAUAUGUUGGAGAGGUCUUAGGUCCGCAAGAGCAUGGAAUGCGCUUAAAGGAGUAUGCAUGUCGAGGCCAUAAACAUUCUUACUUCAUGAAAAUAGAAAAUGAGUAUAUUGAUGCACGUGUAAAGGGAAACCUUGCCCGAUUUAUAAAUCAUAGCUGCGAUCCUAAUUGUUAUAUAGAAAAGUUUAAUGUAAAUGGUGAGGUGUGCAUUGGCUUCUUUGCAAAGAGAGAUCUUGUGAAGGGUGAAGAGCUUACAGCUGAUUAUAAUUUUCAACCAGCAUCUGGUGCAGCAGCCGAAAAAUGUGCAUGUGGGUCUACCAACUGUAGAGGGUUUAUUGGGGUUCUCAAAAAUCCAACAGAUGUAGUUGAGAAUGAGUCAGAUGGGGAAGAACCUCUACCAAUUAUGGUGAAAGAAGAAAGUGAGGAUGUAGCUACAGUUGUUGAUUGCCUCAAGUCAUCUCUAAUUGAGAAAACACAAGAUUGGCAUGAAUCUAAGAUUGAGGUCUCCAAUAAGGUUCAGUCAGUUUCAAUUGUGAAAAAGAUUCCCGCUGUUUUGAGUGGGGAUGGUAAAAGAGGUAUGGUGAAGAAGCUGAAACGAUCCAAGACAGUUCCUGCCUCAGAGAAAUCUAGUACUUUGAACUCAAAGGGGUUGGCUACAAAUAGAUAUUUUGAUGGAGGUAACAACAUGCCACUCAUUCAAGUUCGUAAAGUACAAGAUAUACUCAGUGAAAUGCUGGAUGUAGAUGGUGGAAUUGUAAAGCGAAGGGAUGUUGCAAAGCAUUACUUAAAGCUUUUGGUUGUAACAGCCGCAUCAGGUGAUGCAAAUGACGAGGCAUCUGGCAGUACAAGAGAUCUUUCAAUGGUUUUGGAUGCCCUACUCAAAACAAGGUCACGCUCUGUACUGGUGGAUAUUGCAAAUAAGAAUGGCUUUCAGCUGCUGCAUAAUAUGAUUAAGCAACACCAUAAGUUUCCUGUCAAAAUUCCUAUCAUUCGCAAACUUCUGAAGAUAUUGCAUGUUUUUGCAACCAAGAAGAUUUUCACUUCUGAACAGAUGAGUUCUAUUCCUUCACGUGAAGGAGUUGAAAGCUUUGAAGAGUCCAUUUGGAAGCUCACACGUCACGAAAACCCAGAGGUGCAAAAACUUGCUCGUCAAAUUAUAGAGACUUGGCGUAUUUCACCCAUUCGAAAAUCGUUUGAGGUAAAGCAAUCACCCCGUGGAUCUUCACUUGUUAAAGCCAACAAUCAAACCUGGAGAAAGGAAAAUCUUCCUUCAAAUUCGAAGGCGCCUUUUACAAACAAAUCCAACCUGUCAGGAAAACAUGAAGAUUGUACAAUUGCAGAUUGUGGGCAACUCAUGGAAGAGAAAGAAACUGCCAAAGUAACAGAAGAGAAAGAAAAGGGAAUAAUAUUUGAGCCUGUCAAUGAAUGGAAUUCAAAUGAGCAGAUCUACUCUAGAAAUGGUGAAAAUAAAUGUAAUCUGGGUGACUCAAGACAGUCCCUCGGAUCUGAGAAACAGUGGUCAGAUUCACCAUCAAAAGAUCAAAUUUCUGGAGAUUUUUCAUGUGUACAGGAACAAAAGAGCUUUCCUCCUGUUAAUGUUUCAGAGGAAAGACAGUGGCCCCAAGGUCCAAGGAGAAAAUUCUGUAACAAAAAUGACAGAUGGCCUCCAAGGUAUCCUUCAUCUCAUAGAAAUACGUUUUGUCAUGAAACAGGGUCUCAUGAGAGUAGACCAAGCCUUGCAGGUGGCACACAUACAUUGGACAAGAAAAAUGAACUGCAGAAUGGAGUUCAAGUACAAGUCAGCACAGCAGCAAUAGUAAAUUCAAACCAAAAUAUAAUCAUGCAGCCAGGACCAUCCCCUGUAGGAAUUAUUCCAUUUGUACCGCAAGAAAGUGUUGUUGGAAAUGGAUUAACACAGAUUUUUUCUCCGCAUAUGCCAGUGGCAUAUGGUAUACCUUUAGAACUCUUUCAGAAGCUUCAUGGCUUGCCUGUCUGCAAGUCAGUUGAUACAUCAGCAGCUCGAGGUAUGCAACCAAGAGAUUUUGGAGGAAUAAUGAGCACCACUCCUUGCCGUAUCCCAUGUGAGCAUUUCUCAAUGCAACAAACAACAAAUAUAGUGCGGCCAUUUCAUAGUUCUGGAUGUUCGGUUUCUCUUCCUGGAUUUCCUCCUGAUCCACGUACAUCAGCUGUACCAAUAGGUGCUCCAUUUGGUGUUCAUUCUGGACUUAGGCCACUUCCAUUCCACCAUAUAUCUCAGGCACCAGACAAUCAAAUACAUCGGCAGGGAUUUUUAUGUCAUUCCAAGAAGAGUGAACCAGAUGUUUUGGACCAAGAUACACUUGAACCUGAGCCCCCUGUGCCAGGGCUUUCACCGCCACGUUUGUCAGAAAGUUCUAACUCUACUCGUGCUUUGCCUCCUUUUGGUUCAGUGAAUGGAAGAAAGAAAACUUCUGAUUUUUUCAAAGGGAGGACUAGUUUGUUGUAUAACAAGGAUAGACAAGCAAUUCCAAGAAAAAGUGAAAAAGGUAUCUCCAAUCUGAUGGUGCAUGAUUCUGCUAAUACACAUUUUUCAAGACAUGGCAGUGAACUGGCAGCCAAAGCAUGCUCUAGUCAAAUGUCAUUGCCAGUCGAUGGUGAUACGGUCAGUCAUGUAUCUCUGCAACGUGAUUCAUGUUCUAGUCCACCAUGCGUGGACAAGAUUCAUCCCUCUUCAAACAAAAUGUAUUCUCCAAAAGCUGAACAAUUUUCUCCAAGAUCUUGCUGUAUGGGUGGACCUAAGCAAAAUGAUUUUUCCAUGAAAUCUGAUAUUAAAAUUGAAGAAUGCAGAACUGUCAACAAUGCACAGAGCCUCGUUUGUGAUGGACAACUUAAAGAAGCUAUAGAAGUUCCAAAGGAACAGGAUGAUGUUCUUAAGACUAAUAUGGACUCAAGUUUUAGUUCUUACGAAGGUGUGUCUACAAGCAUGAAUGCAGCUGAAAUUCAAUCUGAAUCCUGUGCAAAUGAGGUGCUUGGGCAUACAAAAUAUAGCAGCUCUCAAGGUGGCGCUGAACAUGAAAGCAUAGAUAAAGAUUUUAACUCAGUCCGGAAAGAAUGUGCAUCUCCUUUGGAUAGAAGUCAUCCUGCAGUGCUGGAAAACUGGCAUAAAUAAAAUCACUUCUUCUGCAGUUAAUUGUUAAAACAUGGUGCUAUAAAAUGGCGGCAGGCAAGAAGUACUCGCUGCAUCAUCAGCUUCAUCUGUAGCACGCAUUCUUGGCAGAGCGUUGAGGUCUGGGAAGGAAGGUUGUGCAUUGCCCUGGCCAUAAGCAUCUUGAUUAACAGGGGUUUGCUGGGGAGGUGCCCUAGUAUCUACAUGCUCAUGCCCCAGCAAAACUAUGCAGGUUUUCUCUUAGGUUGCUUUGGUAAACUACAGCAAUCAUUCUUUGAAGUAAAACUCGGUACUGUAACUGGGUACUUCCAUCAUUGUAAUUUUAUGUACACACGGAUGUAUCAAGCCCAUUAUCAUGGAAUAGUUUAUUUGAUCAUGGAAUAUGUGAUUAUAUUUCAUAUAUAGAUCAGAUUUUCGUGAUGAUUUAAUUGAAGGGCUUCAUUUUUUCAGUGUACAUGAUUGUGCCUAUUGUUUCAUUAUUAUUUUUCCUACUGGUUCUUAGUCCACAAUCUCUAAUUUUUUUUCCCCUGUUAGACCGGGAGUAAUUGAUCCAUAUUUUGUAAAGAUUGCCUCACCACAUGGGCUUUCUUAAGAGAUAAAGCGAUAGAUUGAGCAUGUACCAUUUCUUGUAGAAAUCUUCAGAGUAAGAUCGUGUCAUUCAAAUUAGAUUGUCUAAGAGAUGGAAUACAUUGUAUUGUACUUUAGUGCACCUCCAUGGUACAGAUAACUCUUUCGAGCAUAGAAUCUAUCAUGCUGAGAGGGAGUAAAAUUUCCAUUUGCAUGCUUGAUAUUUUAAUAGCCUUGUGAGCUGUGUAGCUUCCCAGUGAGGUAUUUUGUCAAUUGAAGCAAAUCCACUACACUAUUGGAAGGGUUUGCAGUUUUGAUGUUUCAGAAAUGUCAUGUUUCCAAAUCUUGUUAUCUUUAUGUU